This 403-nucleotide ribosomal RNA is filed under the name uncultured bacterium. Its description in RNAcentral is "bacterial SSU rRNA". It matches the Rfam family "Bacterial small subunit ribosomal RNA", at positions 355 to 776 of the family's 1533-position model. The record is from RNAcentral. RNAcentral also lists the same sequence under 1 other name.
UGGAGAAUCUUGCACAAUGGGGGAAACCCUGAUGCAGCAACGCCGCGUGAAGGAAGACGGCCCUUGGGUUGUAAACUUCUGUUCUAAGGGAAGAUAGUGACGGUACCUUAGGAGCAAGUCCCGGCUAACUACGUGCCAGCAGCCGCGGUAAUACGUAGGGGGCGAGCGUUAUCCGGAAUUAUUGGGCGUAAAGAGUACGUAGGUGGUUUCCUAAGCAUGGGGUUUAAGGCAACGGCUUAACCAUUGUUCGCCCCAUGAACUGGGUUACUUGAGUGCUGGAGGGGAAAGCGGAAUUCCUAGUGUAGCGGUGAAAUGCGUAGAUAUUAGGAGGAACACCGGUGGCGAAGGCGGCUUUCUGGACAGUAACUGACACUGAGGUACGAAAGUGUGGGGAGCAAACAGG